MicroRNA precursor from Cricetulus griseus (Chinese hamster), 86 nucleotides. NCBI's taxonomy places the organism in Eukaryota, Metazoa, Chordata, Mammalia, Rodentia, Cricetidae. The record is from Ensembl.
UUUUGCAGGUCAGGCUCCUGGCAGGAGUCCAGCUCUCAGCUGGUUUCAGGCUCUAGCCAGGGGCUUGACUGCAAUGUUUCUCAUUA